CCUACGGGAGGCAGCAGUGGGGAAUAUUGGACAAUGGGCGAAAGCCUGAUCCAGCAAUGCCGCGUGAGUGAUGAAGGCCUUCGGGUCGUAAAGCUCUUUUACCAGGGAUGAUAAUGACAGUACCUGGAGAAUAAGCUCCGGCUAACUCCGUGCCAGCAGCCGCGGUAAUACGGAGGGAGCUAGCGUUGUUCGGAAUUACUGGGCGUAAAGAGUACGUAGGCGGUUAUUCAAGUCAGAGGUGAAAGCCCGGGGCUCAACCCCGGAACUGCCUUUGAAACUAGAUAACUAGAGUCUUGGAGAGGUUAGUGGAAUUCCGAGUGUAGAGGUGAAAUUCGUAGAUAUUCGGAAGAACACCAGUGGCGAAGGCGACUAACUGGACAAGUACUGACGCUGAGGUACGAAAGCGUGGGGAGCAAACAGGAUUAGAUACCCUGGUAGUCCACGCCGUAAACGAUGAUAACUAGUUGUUCGGUCACUUGGUGACUGAGUGACGCAGCUAACGCAUUAAGUUAUCCGCCUGGGGAGUACGGUCGCAAGNUUAAAACUCAAAGGAAUUGACGGCUGGAAGAGUGCGAGACGACGACGAGGGAGAGG
RNAcentral lists this ribosomal RNA (594 nucleotides) under uncultured bacterium. RNAcentral describes it as "bacterial SSU rRNA". It matches the Rfam family "Bacterial small subunit ribosomal RNA", at positions 338 to 956 of the family's 1533-position model. The record is from RNAcentral.